Molecule: ribosomal RNA, 489 nt
Filed under: uncultured bacterium
Lineage: Bacteria
Description: partial 16S ribosomal RNA
Rfam family: Bacterial small subunit ribosomal RNA
Source: RNAcentral
GAUGAACGCUAGCGGGAGGCCUAACACAUGCAAGCCGAGCGGGAUUUGUUGGUUAGCUUGCUAACUAACAAUGAGAGCGGCGUACGGGUGCGUAGCACGUGUGCAACCUGCCUUUAUCUGGGGGAUAGCCUUUCGAAAGGAAGAUUAAUACCCCAUAACAUAUUGAUUGGCAUCAGUUAAUAUUGAAAGCUCCGGCGGAUAGAGAUGGGCACGCGUAAGAUUAGCUAGUUGGUGAGGUAACGGCUCACCAAGGCUGCGAUCUUUAGGGGGCCUGAGAGGGUGAUCCCCCACACUGGUACUGAGACACGGACCAGACUCCUACGGGAGGCAGCAGUGAGGAAUAUUGGACAAUGGGUGAGAGCCAGAUCCAGCCAUCCCGCGUGAAGGACUAAGGACCUAUGGUUUGUAAACUUCUUUUAUACAGGGAUAAACCUACUCUCGUGAGGGUAGCUGAAGGUACUGUAUGAAUAAGCACCGGCUAACUCCGUG